GUGGGGAAUCUUGCGCAAUGGGCGAAAGCCUGACGCAGCCAUGCCGCGUGAAUGAUGAAGGUCUUAGGAUUGUAAAAUUCUUUCACCGGGGACGAUAAUGACGGUACCCGGAGAAGAAGCCCCGGCUAACUUCGUGCCAGCAGCCGCGGUAAUACGAAGGGGGCUAGCGUUGCUCGGAAUUACUGGGCGUAAAGGGCGCGGAGGCGGACAGUUUAGUCAGAGGUGAAAGCCCAGGGCUCAACCGUGGAAUUGCCUUUGAUACUGGCUGUCUUGAGUACGGGAGAGGUGAGUGGAACUCCGAGUGUAGAGGUGAAAUUCGUAGAUAUUCGGAAGAACACCAGUGGCGAAGGCGACUCACUGGCCCGUUACUGACGCUGAGGCGCGAAAGCGUGGGGAGCAAACAGGAUUAGAAACCCGAGUAGUCC
Molecule: ribosomal RNA, 425 nt
Filed under: uncultured bacterium
Lineage: Bacteria
Description: partial 16S ribosomal RNA
Rfam family: Bacterial small subunit ribosomal RNA
Source: RNAcentral